UAGAUGAACAUAGCAAUAGUAGUUAAAUUCAUAUGGUUUAUUUUUUGUCUGUGUCCUUCACUGUAUUAAGGACUCCAUGCACAUUACCAAUAAAUCUUCAUAGCAGCCCUAUGACAUGCACUCUACUUACUGUGCCUGUUUUACAGAUGGGGGAAGUGAAGAUUAGGGAAGUUAAACGGCUGGCUGAAGAUCACAUAGCUAGUAAUUAUGGAGCUGGGACUGAACCCAGGCCUAACUCAUUUGAGAGCAUAACAAAUACCUAAGAUAAACAGCUUCUAACUUGCCCAGAUGACCAUGGGAAAUGAGGAAAAAUUGGAAACUAAGGAUAACUAUGUUGUUCCUGGUCUGAGUGACGUGGGGAAUGAAGAUCUGAUUAUCAAGGUCCUGGGUUUAUCCUAAGGCUGUUUCACACCAAAGCUCUACAGGAAGGACACCAAGUAGCAAAAAAAUGCAUGUCAAAUGGGAGAAACAAAGUAGUUUUCCUUGGCUCUGUGUUAUGAGCUGGAUCUAAAUACUCCAGAAUCAAGGAAGCUAUAAUGCCUGCUCUUCUUCUAAAGCUCAAAGCCGAAUUUCAGAACUCACCUAAGAAUGAAACACAAAGCCUCUCAUGCCCACAUCAGACAUGAAGAGAGAUUGUGUCCUUCAAAGGUAAGUCACUGCCCUUAAGAAAAGUGGCUUCAAUUAGUGCCCUGGAAUGUAAACAAUUCAAAAUCUUGGAAAAAGAUGAAAAUAGAGAAAAGAACAAGAUUUGCCAAAACCAGCAGAGCUCAGGUGACAAGAGCCAAACCUUCCACACUAAGGAUUCCAGCUCAAAGACUUAAAAUGAUUAACAAUUUUUUAUAGUGUCUCUUUUCCAUAUCUUUGUGCACUCAGGACAAGAAUGAACAGCUGAUGGACAAUUUAGGAUUUCAACCACAUACAUCUAUGUUCUUUCUAUUUGGUGUUAGACCUAAUAGGAGACAUAACCCUUCUCCAUUAAAAUGCAUAUAUUUUCAUAUAUUUGGAAAUAGAGUGACAUAGCCUAAGAUAAAAUUUAAAUGACAUGUAGUUUAUAUUCCUCCUUCUGAAAGAAUACCCCUCAAAAAACUUUAGAACCCAAUUUUUUAGAGCUCAUCAGAAGAAUAGAGUGCCUUAAUGUCAAGGUUUUGUCAAAAAACAUGCUGAGAUUAAAGUUUAAAGGAAAUUUGUUGAUUUGGGAGAUGAUCUCAGGAAGAAAUAGUAAGGCAUGGACAAGUGGGACAGCAGAGGGGAAAGGUGCUAAUAUGCUAUGUGUUAUGAGAAGGUUGCAGCCUGGGCCUUCAGAAAGACUGGAUAGAAAUGCACAAAAGUACAUAGAAGUGAAGAUGCUGGAUUAUUUAUUCACAACUCCUACCCACCAUUCCCUGAAAUCAGCUUCCAGGACAUCCACCUCUCAGACCUAGGCAUUCUAGUAAAAGCUCUUGGGCAAAGAUUCUCAGAAGGCUCUGGAAGUAAAACUUCAGCCUGCUUCAGGAAGCUAAGUGCCCCCAGAUAUGAGAGGCAGCACCAGUAGCUCCUGUUGCAAUUCAUGAAUUAACUUUUGGUAAAGAUAUCUUGGAUUAACACUCUUUAGCAGGAGAAUAUCUUUCUAAAA
Heterocephalus glaber (naked mole-rat) is the source of this 1612-nucleotide long non-coding RNA. RefSeq lists it as uncharacterized. The record is from RefSeq and is a predicted model, not a curated record. Lineage: Eukaryota; Metazoa; Chordata; Mammalia; Rodentia; Bathyergidae.